UACGUGGAGUCCAAGCGUUGUCCGGAUUUAUUGGGCGUAAAGAGCGUGUAGGCGGCCUGACAGGUCUGCUGUGAAAACUCGAGGCUCAACCUCGAGAUGUCGGCGGAAACCGUCUGGCUAGAGUCCGGAAGAGGAGAGUGGAAUUCCUGGUGUAGCGGCGAAAUGCGCAGAUAUCAGGAAGAACACCUAUGGCGAAGGCAGCUCUCUGGGACGGUACUGACGCUGAGACGCGAAAGCGUGGGGAGCGAACAGG
RNAcentral lists this ribosomal RNA (253 nucleotides) under uncultured bacterium. RNAcentral describes it as "partial 16S ribosomal RNA". It matches the Rfam family "Bacterial small subunit ribosomal RNA", at positions 524 to 776 of the family's 1533-position model. The record is from RNAcentral.